Nicotiana tabacum (common tobacco) is the source of this 544-nucleotide non-coding RNA. The record is from RefSeq and is a predicted model, not a curated record. NCBI's taxonomy places the organism in Eukaryota, Viridiplantae, Streptophyta, Magnoliopsida, Solanales, Solanaceae.
ACUAAGUGCAAAUUUCACACAGCGUCGACCUCUUAUGGUUAUCAUCGAUUCUCAAAUCUCAUUCUACGUUCCCACAGAAAAUACAGACCAUUGGAAUUGCUAUAGGCUUUACUGCCGAUGGAAAUCGUCAAUCCAUUUGCAUUUUCAAGUCAAAGUCUGAUGGAGCAAGUGCGUAUAUAGUUGGGUGCCCCUCUUGUUUUGAUUCAUUCAGAUUUACCGAACAGUCCGAGUCAAGCUACUGGGUUUCGGAUGAACCCAUACAUUGAACUCUACAUCUGCCCUUGGGUGGGAGGCAUGAAGUCAAUAGUAAUUCAAAAUAUAAAGAAGAAAACAUACCAUGAAGUCAAAGACAUUCAACAUCUACAUGUGUUCAAACCUCAGAACUGAGUCUAGUUUGAUCUAAGCUAUGUGACACUAUCAUUACCUGCAAAUUUUUGAAGGAAAUUGUUCCAGUUUCUGGCCAAGUGCUUGAUGGUCUGCUAUUUUCAAUCACAAGAGGUGCUUCACUCGCAAGGGAGUGUGACUAGCAGAACAAGGGAGAAGG